UGAUCCCCGACGGCGCCAUGGACCGAGC
RNAcentral lists this non-coding RNA (28 nucleotides) under Rattus norvegicus (Norway rat). Lineage: Eukaryota; Metazoa; Chordata; Mammalia; Rodentia; Muridae. The record is from RNAcentral.